AUUCACUGGGGUUUGUGCUAGAGUUUUAUUUCUGAGCAGCAUCUCCUUGUCUCCUUCUCUUCUGGACUACUGUAUUCCCUGGCUUCCAGAUCUCUCAUAUCCCCAAAGAUGUCAUAGGAGACAUUCCAAAGCUCACAGAGCUUAGAUAACAAACAUGUACUGCAUGCACUGCACCGGGCAUGAGUGUGUGAAGCCAACUUGAUCUAUCUGGAUGCAUCCUUGUAUCUUCUCCUACACCUCCAAAGCUCUCCCAUCACGACACUCUCACAGACGUAUGAACUACAGGGAGAAGAUAUCCAUAGAUUAAGUGCCUCAUGCAAAUAAAAAAGGUAUUAAAACAGCAGUGGAGCAGCAGAUGCUAUACCUUGCAUAUUGCUAAAGAUGCUACCUAUGCAGUUCCUAAAAACACGAGCCCUUCUAAUGAG
Molecule: long non-coding RNA, 425 nt
Filed under: Phasianus colchicus (ring-necked pheasant)
Lineage: Eukaryota; Metazoa; Chordata; Aves; Galliformes; Phasianidae
Description: lncRNA (ENSPCLG00000021327.1)
Source: RNAcentral